CUUGUAUAACAUUUUCGGACUUUCGUUUCAGUCCCUCGUCAGUAUAUAGUUAUACCUACUAUAUAUGCUAUACAAAAUAUACAGAACAGAACAUUUUCAAACAUUUUUUUAUGCGUUACAGUUCAUAUAAUAGAUUAUACCCUAUAUUGGGGGCAUAAUGACAAAGACAGAACCAUUGAACUUGCCAGGGGUAUAUGAAAUAAAAAUUGAUAACAAAGACACCAAUCAGGAAGAGGUUUACAUAGGUUCAAUGGCAAGGUCUAUAAAGAAAAGAUUACAAGAAUACAAGGCAGAUAGAGAGAAAGAGAAAGGAACUACAGCCUUGACACAAAGGCUUAUGGCAUAUGAUGCGACACCAAGAUAGCAAGAAACAGAAAUGGUAAGUAUUAUAACGGAACCAGAAAAGCUUAAGACGGCAGGGGCUGUAGAGAUAUUCGCCAAGAGAGCCUCGGGCAUAAAUGUUAUCAAUUACAACAAACCACAAAAAAUAAGCCUAGCAUGGGAGUACUCUUACAAAAAAAUGGUAAAUAAGAAAAAAAAGAGGCUGCUAGGAGAUUGAAAUAUAAAAGAUACUAUUAAAAGAGAAAGUUUAUAAUGAGAACUUAUUAUUAUUCCUGCUGAAAGGGUUAUGCAUUAAUAAUAAUGAUAUGUGACUGAAUAGGGC
This 664-nucleotide long non-coding RNA is filed under the name Androctonus crassicauda. Lineage: Eukaryota; Metazoa; Arthropoda; Arachnida; Scorpiones; Buthidae. The record is from RNAcentral.